UCCUACGGGGGGCAGCAGUAGGGAAUUUUCGUCAAUGGGCGCAAGCCUGAACGAGCAAUGCCGCGUGAACGAGGAAGGUCUUCGGAUCGUAAAGUUCUGUUGAAGGGGAAAAAGAGCGGAGAGAGGAAAUGGUCUCCGAUUGAUAUUACCCUUCGAAGAAGUCACGGCUAACUACGUGCCAGCAGCCGCGGUAAUACGUAGGUGGCGAGCGUUAUCCGGAAUGAUUGGGCGUAAAGGGUGCGUAGGCGGCCUGCUAAGUCUGGAGUGAAAGGUACCGGCUCAACCGGUACAGGCUCUGGAAACUG
Molecule: ribosomal RNA, 305 nt
Filed under: uncultured bacterium
Lineage: Bacteria
Description: bacterial SSU rRNA
Rfam family: Bacterial small subunit ribosomal RNA
Source: RNAcentral